GUGUGUGUGUGUAUAUCGCUGGAGGUGUGUGGAGUUAAGGAAAGAGGUCAUUAUGGAGUUAAUAAGGAAAGAGGUCAUUAUGGAGUUAAUAAGGAAAGAGGUCAUUAUGGAGUUAAUAAGGAAAGAGGUCAUUAUGGAGUUAAUAAGGAAAGAGGUUAUUAUGGAGUUAAUAAGGAAAGAGGUCAUUAUGGAGUUAAUAAGGAAAGAGGUUAUUAUGGAGUUAAUAAGGAAAGAGGUCAUUAUGGAGUUAAUAAGGAAAGAGGUUAUUAUGGAGUUAAUAAGGAAAGAGGUCAUUAUGGAGUUAAUAAGGAAAGAGGUUAUUAUGGAGUUAAUAAGGAAAGAGGUCAUUAUGGAGUUAAUAAGGAAAGAGGUUAUUAUGGAGUUAAUAAGGAAAGAGGUCAUUAUGGAGUUAAUAAGGAAAGAGGUCAUUAUGGAGUUAAUAAGGAAAGAGGUUAU
Oncorhynchus keta (chum salmon) is the source of this 456-nucleotide long non-coding RNA. RefSeq lists it as uncharacterized. The record is from RefSeq and is a predicted model, not a curated record. The transcript has 4 exons. NCBI's taxonomy places the organism in Eukaryota, Metazoa, Chordata, Actinopteri, Salmoniformes, Salmonidae.